RNAcentral lists this ribosomal RNA (427 nucleotides) under uncultured Actinomycetes bacterium. RNAcentral's name for it is "bacterial SSU rRNA". It matches the Rfam family "Bacterial small subunit ribosomal RNA", at positions 958 to 1385 of the family's 1533-position model. Lineage: Bacteria; Bacillati; Actinomycetota; Actinomycetes. The record is from RNAcentral.
AACGCGAAGAACCUUACCUGGGUUUGACAUGCACAGGACGCCGGUAGAGAUAUCGGUUCCCUUGUGGUCUGUGUGCAGGUGGUGCAUGGCUGUCGUCAGCUCGUGUCGUGAGAUGUUGGGUUAAGUCCCGCAACGAGCGCAACCCUUGUCUCAUGUUGCCAGCGCGUUAUGGCGGGGACUCGUGAGAGACUGCCGGGGUCAACUCGGAGGAAGGUGGGGAUGACGUCAAGUCAUCAUGCCCCUUAUGUCCAGGGCUUCACACAUGCUACAAUGGCCGGUACAAAGGGCUGCGAUGCCGUGAGGCUUAGCGAAUCCUUUAAAGCCGGUCUCAGUUCGGAUCGGGGUCUGCAACUCGACCCCGUGAAGUCGGAGUCGCUAGUAAUCGCAGAUCAGCAACGCUGCGGUGAAUACGUUCCCGGGCCUUGUA